CGGGCUUAUGUUUAUUACAAACCACAAAGUAUUAGAAUGUCUAUUGCGAAUAUAACGCAUCUAUAUACAACUUUCAGCAACGGAUCUCUUGGCUCUCGCAUCGAUGAAGAACGCAGCGAAAUGCGAUAAGUAAUGUGAAUUGCAGAAUUCAGUGAAUCAUCGAAUCUUU
This 169-nucleotide ribosomal RNA is filed under the name Cerrena caperata. Its description in RNAcentral is "Coriolopsis caperata 5.8S ribosomal RNA". The stretch from base 69 to 169 matches the Rfam family "5.8S ribosomal RNA", at positions 1 to 101 of the family's 154-position model. From Rfam's summary of the family: 5.8S ribosomal RNA (5.8S rRNA) is a component of the large subunit of the eukaryotic ribosome. It is transcribed by RNA polymerase I as part of the 45S precursor that also contains 18S and 28S rRNA. Lineage: Eukaryota; Fungi; Basidiomycota; Agaricomycetes; Polyporales; Cerrenaceae. The record is from RNAcentral.